This 3359-nucleotide unclassified non-coding RNA is filed under the name Hevea brasiliensis (rubber tree). The record is from RNAcentral. Lineage: Eukaryota; Viridiplantae; Streptophyta; Magnoliopsida; Malpighiales; Euphorbiaceae.
GGCCAAGCUAGAACACUACCCGCAUAUGUUAGCUGUCCUGCGAGAAGCUCCUCUUUCCUUUUGCUUUCCUUCGGUUAUUCCAAAACUCUGUGUCGAUCUUCAAAAUCCCCUUUGCGAUUUCUUCUCGAAAGAGGAUUGUUAAUUACAAAAUCUUACGUCUUUUGCGUCUCAAAAAUUUUAGCCGAAAUCGUUUCAAUAAUAGAGAUUAAAGGAAAAUUAUAAUUAUGGCUCAAGCAGUUGAGGAAUGGUACAAGCAGAUGCCUAUUAUCACCCGCUCUUAUCUAACAGCAGCUAUUGUCACCACCAUCGGUUGUUCCCUCGAGAUAAUAUCUCCUCAUAAUUUGUACUUGCAUCCUACACUUGUUGUUAAGCAUUAUCAAUUCUGGCGUCUCAUCACCAAUUUCCUGUACUUCCGGAAAAUGGACCUGGACUUUUUGUUCCACAUGUUCUUUCUUGCUCGAUACUGCAAACUUCUUGAAGAGAACUCUUUCAGUGGGAGGACUGCAGAUUUCUUUUACAUGCUCUUAUUUGGUGCCACUGUUUUGACUGGCAUUGUUCUUCUUGGGGGAAUGAUACCCUAUUUGUCAGAAUCAUUUGCGAAAAUCAUAUUCCUUAGUAAUUCAUUGACAUUCAUGAUGGUUAGUUAGUCUUUGCCUACAUAUGGCAUGUUAUUGUUGGUAGUUCCUUGUAACUGAUCUUCCACCAAAGCUUCUUACUUUUUCAUAUUUGCAGGUUUAUGUCUGGAGCAAGCAAAAUCCAUUUAUCCACAUGAGUUUCUUGGGCCUCUUUACUUUUACAGCAGCUUACCUACCAUGGGUUCUUUUGGGAUUCUCUGUCCUUGUUGGUGCCAGUGCUUGGGUGGAUCUACUGGUGCAUUUUAUUUACUAAAUAUUCCCUUCAACAUCAAUAUUUCCAUUUUUUUAUUAAUCAUCUGUGCAUGUUAGGGAAAUUCUUAACCUUGUGCUCUCAAGCUCAUUAAUUCACAAUUUACAUUUAAAAAACAAACGUUGCAUUGCUUGGCCAUUGAGCAAAAUUUUAAACAAUGGAGUCCCGAGUGUAUGGACGGUUGAUGGGUUGUGAUAUGGCUUGCCUGAUUGGGAUGAAUGAACUUGAUUAGUGUGUUUGUGGCAACAAGUUUUGACAUUUCUUCCAUUGGUAGGUUAAGAGUGUUCACAAGUCACAACUUAAAUAUAUAAAAAUUAGAAGUGCAAAUGUUCAGUAGUCUUCACUCUUCAGUCAUUUCCUGAGCACAAAAUAUUACUAGGACCGAUAAAAUUAAAAGAAAAAAAAGAAAGCUAAUAUAACAUAAAAUGCUGUAAGAAAUAUGCUUCACUCCUUUCCCUUUUGAGUAAAUCUCUCUCAACAGCAAAUAUCUUACAAAUUGGCUGCCUUUUCUUCUGGUGUAUUUACAUUCCUUAUUUUUAACAAUAUUACUAUGUGUUUCAGGGAAUGAUAGCUGGCCAUGCUUACUAUUUUCUUGAGGAUGUAUAUCCACGAAUGACCGGUCGUCGGCCCCUACAAACCCCAUCAUUUAUUAAAUCACUAUUUGCUGAUGAGGCUGUUGUAGUGGCACGACCUGCAAAUGUGAGAUUUGCUCCCCCACCUGCAGAGGAGGUUCAUCAAGAUUGAUCAGACCGUAGGCUAAUGAGCUAUCUUUUUGGCUGCAUUGGACAGCUCGUGCCAUUAGGGGACAUAAAGUUGAUACAGUUCUUUGAUAUAUCUGUCCUGACAUGUCUUCAUUUUAGAGGUUAACUAUGUACAUGAUAUUGCCUGCUAUGGAGCCAUGCACAACUUGGAUUAGAGACGAGUUUUUGUAAUUUAUAUCAAGAAUUUCAUAGUUGUUCCUUCUGUUGCUGCUUCCGAUGGAAACUAGAUUACACCAAAGUUGAAGUGAUCAACUUAAACGACAAAGACAUAAUGCUUGAUGGAAGAGACUUGAACCCGGUCAAUAAAAAAUCACAACAAAGAGGAGGUAUGUGCCUUUGUUGUUUUUAAUAGGUUGUAGCCCUUGUUUCCAAAAUAAACUAAAAGCAGAUGACCAAAAUCAUCUAACUCCGCUUCAUCAAAUAAUGAAUAGUUUUAUAAACCUAGAGCAAUGGUUAUGAUAGAGGGAGGGCAUCAGGGGCCAUUGUCCCUUCCCCCUUCAAAGUAAAAGAUUUUUCUUCAAUCCUAUGUAGAAUUUCUUUUCUAUGCCAUUAUGUUGCCCCUUAAUCCAGCCCAAGUAUUUGUCUUUUAAUAUCAACUCCAUUUGCUUGGCCUAUCUCAUUAGCUAAACUCAUUAUUAAUCAAUUAAUGUUUCACUCCAUUUGUUCGUUAUUCUUUAAUAGAUUAACUGAUUCAGCGGCCCAUCAAGUCAUUAUUCUUUAACACAUUAAUGUAUUAUAUUGUUUUCAUAUGAUAUUUAUCAAUCAUGCCAAGAUGUGAUAUAUAGAUAGAUGUAGUAUAGUUUGUAUUAAUCUCUGUUUGAAAAGUUAAUUUUUAUUUAUUUUUUUUUGUACUAUAACAUGUGUAUUAUAUUUUUCUCGUAUGAUAUUUAUCAAUGGCAGGAAAAAAAUUUACAAGAUCUUCACCCCCCUAACUUAAAUUUUUAGCUCUACCACCGCCUAUAAGACUAUAACAUAGUGUUUGAUCAUACUUAUUUGGAUUUCCAUGCUUUUAUCACAUUAUGUUUGUAUUGGUGGUUCAGGAAGAUUCAUAUUCAAGUAACUAAAACUGAAGAUGUGUUCAAGGUUUGUUGGCAAGCCAAAUAAAAUGGAGGUAUUGAUUGUACAUAACCAAUGUAAUAAACUUCUUCCUACUCCUAACUAUUUUCUUUUACCCUUAUAAGUUUUUUAAUUUGUAUAAUUAGACUUAACUGCUUCUAAAGAGUUUCUGUUACUUUUUUUUUCUUAUUAUUAUCUUCUUUUUUUUUUCCCUUGUAGGUGCAAGGUUCUUCCUUAAUCCUUAUAUGAUAUAUCACUGCUGCAAGGAGGUUGCAAAUGGCAAUAUAGUGUGUUUUCGAUUCAUGGAAUGUUGAUGAUGCUUCUUAUUUUGGAGAUUUUAUCAAAGAUUGUUGAGGAUAUUUUGCAAGAGCUGCCUCAUAGCUCUAUUUCUUAGCUCUAUUUCUUUUGUAAAAAGUUCAACUCUUAUUGACAACGACAUCUAUUUUUGUGUCUGAUACUCAGAAGCGGGAUCCUGUCCCUCCUAAUUUUAUUUAAGUUGCUGUAAUUUUUAAUUUUAUUUAAGAUAGAACCCCAAAAAAGGUAAAACCUCAAACUAUGCCAUAUUUUCCUCUAGUUAUGUGAACAAUAACUCAAACAAAUUGAAGAUUUUGCCAAAUUAUUGUAUAAUAAAUAAUGAUAUCAAAAUUGUUGGCGUGG